Molecule: ribosomal RNA, 497 nt
Filed under: uncultured bacterium
Lineage: Bacteria
Description: partial 16S ribosomal RNA
Rfam family: Bacterial small subunit ribosomal RNA
Source: RNAcentral
GAUGAACGCUGGCGGCGUGCCUAAUACAUGCAAGUCGAGCGGACGGACGAGAAGCUUGCUUUUCUGAUGUUAGCGGCGGACGUGUGAGUAACACGUGGGUGACAUACCUAUAAGACUUGGAUAACUUCGGGGGACCGGAGCUAAAAACGGCUGAUAUGAUGAACCGCAUGGUUCAAAAGUGAAAGACGGUCUUGCUGUCGAUUAUACAUGGAUCCGCUCCGCAUUAGCUAGUUGGUAAGGUAACGGCGUACCAAGACAACGAUGCGUAGCCGCCCUAAGAGGGUGAGCGGCCACACUGGAACUGAGACACGGUCCAGACCCCUACGGGAGGCAGCCGGAGGGAACCCUUAGGGAUGGGCGAAAGCGUGACGGAGCAACGCCGCGGGAGUGAUGAAGGUCUUGGGAUCGUAAAACUCUGGUAGUAGGGAAGAACAUAUGUGUAAGUAACUGGGCAAAUCGUGGCGGUACCUAAACAGAGAGGCACGGCUAAAUUAGGG